CCUACGGGUGGCAGCAGUGAGGAAUAUUGGUCAAUGGGAGCUAUCCUGAACCAGCCAAGUAGCGUGCAGGACGACUGCUCUAUGAGUUGUAAACUGCUUUUGUAUGGGGAUAAAGUGCAGUAUGUAUACUGCUUUGAAAGUACCUUAUGAAUAAGGAUCGGCUAACUCCGUGCCAGCAGCCGCGGUAAUACGGAGGAUCCGAGCGUUAUCCGGAUUUAUUGGGUUUAAAGGGAGCGUAGGUGGGUUGUUAAGUCAGUGGUGAAAGUUUGAUGCUCAACAGUGAAAUUGCGGUUGAUACUGUCGUCCUAGAGAACAGUAGCGGCAGGCGGAAUGUGUGGUGUAGCGGUGAAAUGCUUAGAUAUCACAAAGAACACCGAUUGCGAAGGCAGCCUGCUAGGCUGGAUCUGACGCUGAUGCUCGAAAGUGUGGGUAUCAAACAGGAUUAGAUACCCUUGUAGUC
This 460-nucleotide ribosomal RNA is filed under the name uncultured bacterium. RNAcentral describes it as "partial 16S ribosomal RNA". It matches the Rfam family "Bacterial small subunit ribosomal RNA", at positions 338 to 795 of the family's 1533-position model. The record is from RNAcentral.